This is an RNA transcript of Drosophila guanche, 1216 nucleotides long. It is a transcript of the gene named ADP-ribosylation factor-related protein 1, with no coding region annotated. The record is from RefSeq and is a predicted model, not a curated record. The transcript is spliced from 4 exons. Lineage: Eukaryota; Metazoa; Arthropoda; Insecta; Diptera; Drosophilidae.
GGAAGAGAGGUGGUGCGACAGAGGCAGGCAGCUGUCACGACAGAGACAACAAAAUUGAAGUUAACAACAAUAAAUAAAUAGAACAAAAAAAAUGUACACACUGCUGCACGGCUUCUACAAAUACUUUACACAAAAAGACGAGUACUGUGUGGUGAUCCUAGGCCUGGACAAUGCUGGCAAAACGACGUACCUGGAGGCGGCCAAGACUAAGUUUACAAGGAACUACAAGGGCCUAAACCCAACGAAAAUCACAACGACAGUUGGCCUCAACAUUGGCACCAUCGAUGUGCUGGGCGUGCGACUGAACUUCUGGGAUCUGGGCGGCCAGCAGGAGCUGCAAUCGCUGUGGGACAAAUACUACCAAGAGUCCCAUGGCGUCAUCUAUGUGAUAGACUCGAAUGAUCGGGAGCGCAUGGACGAGUCGAAGAUCAUUUUUGAUAAAAUGAUCAAGAAUGAGCUGCUCUCGGGUGUGCCACUGCUUAUACUGGCCAACAAACAGGAUCUGCCCGAUGUGAUGGGCGUGCGUGAGAUAAAGCCAGUCUUCCAGCAGGCUGGUGCCCUCAUCGGUCGCCGUGAUUGCCUCACCAUACCCGUCUCAGCGUUAACCGGUGAGGGUGUGGACGAGGGCAUCAAAUGGCUAGUCGAGGCCAUCAAGCGGCAUGCCUUAGUACGGCCGCCGCGAGAGAACGAUUGAACAAUGCAACGAGAGCAACAGCAGCAGCAGCCUUACCUACUAGUAGCUUUAAUAUUUAAGGUCUAAGGUAUACAGUUUUUAGUUAUAGGUUCGCCACAGACCACGUCCAGACCUCUGCUCCAGUCCCUCAAUGGCAGUUGUCAAUGACGACUUUGCUUAUCCAAAAAAAAAAGGAACAACAACGACGACAAAUACCUAAAGCAGAUUGUUAUAUGUUCUCACGGAGUGGUGUUAUCAGCCCUCCGAUAGAUAAGUGUGUGUAGUUUUCGUCUCUAUCGGACUGUGCCACCAAUAUAAUACUGCAAACACUUGCAGUGGCGGAGGGGAGAGAGCUGGGGCCCCAUGCGGCAGGCUAUGUCAGUCUUUUGCAGAAGUUUCAUCGGCGCGGGCCAGCCAGUCCAUCCGUUCUGUUCAAUCCUUGUUUAACGUUCAAAUAAUGGAAUGAACUCGCCCCAUAAACUAUUAGUGCCUUAAACCUUCUCCGGCUCAGCGACCAACAACCAAAUAAAAGAACAAGACCAA